RNAcentral lists this ribosomal RNA (469 nucleotides) under Enterococcus sp. oral taxon A43. RNAcentral describes it as "bacterial SSU rRNA". It matches the Rfam family "Bacterial small subunit ribosomal RNA", at positions 28 to 471 of the family's 1533-position model. Lineage: Bacteria; Bacillati; Bacillota; Bacilli; Lactobacillales; Enterococcaceae. The record is from RNAcentral.
GACGAACGCUGGCGGCGUGCCUAAUACAUGCAAGUCGAACGCUUCUUUUUCACCGAACUUCGGUUCAUCGAAAAAGAGGAGUGGCGAACGGGUGAGUAACACGUGGGUAACCUGCCCAUCAGAAGGGGAUAACACUUGGAAACAGGUGCUAAUACCGUAUAAUGCUUUUUCUCGCAUGAGAGCAAGCUGAAAGGCGCUUUUGCGUCACUGAUGGAUGGACCCGCGGUGCAUUAGCUAGUUGGUGAGGUAACGGCUCACCAAGGCCACGAUGCAUAGCCGACCUGAGAGGGUGAUCGGCCACACUGGGACUGAGACACGGCCCAGACUCCUACGGGAGGCAGCAGUAGGGAAUCUUCGGCAAUGGACGAAAGUCUGACCGAGCAACGCCGCGUGAGUGAAGAAGGUUUUCGGAUCGUAAAACUCUGUUGUUAGAGAAGAACAAGGAUGAGAGUAAAAUGUUCAUCCCUUG